AUACAUAGGGGGCGAGCGUUGUCCGGAAUGACUGGGCGUAAAGGGAGCGUAGGCGGUUGUGUGUGUUAUCUGUGAAAGCCCGGGGCUUAACUCCGGAACGGCAGAUAAGACUGCACGACUAGAGUGUGGGAGAGGAAAGUGGAAUUCCUAGUGUAGCGGUGGAAUGCGUAGAUAUUAGGAGGAACAUCAGUGGCGAAGGCGGCUUUCUGGACCAUAACUGACGCUGAGGCUCGAAAGCGUGGGGAGCAAACAGGAUUAGAUACCCUGGUAGUCCACGCCGUAAACGAUGGAUACUAGACGUAGCGGGUAUCGACUCCCGCUGUGUCGCAGCUAACGCAAUAAGUAUCCCGCCUGGGGAGUACGGCCGCAAGGCUAAA
Molecule: ribosomal RNA, 377 nt
Filed under: uncultured bacterium
Lineage: Bacteria
Description: bacterial SSU rRNA
Rfam family: Bacterial small subunit ribosomal RNA
Source: RNAcentral